Eptesicus fuscus (big brown bat) is the source of this 97-nucleotide non-coding RNA. RefSeq annotates it as microRNA mir-9228-2. The record is from RefSeq and is marked provisional. Lineage: Eukaryota; Metazoa; Chordata; Mammalia; Chiroptera; Vespertilionidae. The transcript has a single exon.
ACCAGGCUAAUUGGCUGUGAGGACCUGCUGUGUCUAUAACGGAAGAAUUGCUGUGCUGGAGACACAGUAGGGCUUUGGUGCUCACUGAGUCUGCCUC